This 439-nucleotide ribosomal RNA is filed under the name Thinophilus sp. 1 SNK-2009. RNAcentral's name for it is "partial 16S ribosomal RNA". The stretch from base 309 to 439 matches the Rfam family "Bacterial large subunit ribosomal RNA", at positions 2473 to 2603 of the family's 2925-position model. Lineage: Eukaryota; Metazoa; Arthropoda; Insecta; Diptera; Dolichopodidae. The record is from RNAcentral.
GGUAGCAUAAUCAUUAGUCUUUUAAUUGAGGGCUUGUAUGAAUGAUUGGACGAGAUAUAAACUGUCUCUAAUAGAUUUAUAAAAUUUUAUUUUUUAGUAAAAAAGCUAAAAUUUUUUUAAAAGACGAGAAGACCCUAUAGAUCUUUAUACUUAAUAGUAAAUAUUUUUAUAGGAUUAUUUAAGUAUUACUUAUUAUUAAGUAUUAUAUUGGGGUGAUAUUGAAAUUUAUAAAACUUUCAAUUAUUAUAAACAUUAAUUUAUGARUUGUUGAUCCAUUAUUAUUGAUUAAAAAUUUAAGUUACCUUAGGGAUAACAGCGUAAUUAUUUUGGAGAGUUCAAAUCGAUAAAGUAGAUUGCGACCUCGAUGUUGGAUUAAGAUUAAUUCUAGGUGCAGUAGCUUGGAAUAUUAAGUCUGUUCGACUUUUAAUAUCUUACAUGA